UGCUGAGACUUCUCCUAAGCAACCUUUGUGAAGGCUCCCUCUUGUUUGUUUAUUUUGACUCAAGUAUAUGUACAUAUUUGUAACUUAUCGGGGAUAUCAAUAAAUAAGCUUUCAUUCAUUUCAACGUAUUGUGUUAAAUACACCAAAGCCUUCUUCGCUAAGUUCUUUGAAUUUUCUUUUGUUGAAGCUUGUAUGUUGAAGCUUUGUGAGUGGAGCAUGUAGGUUGAGGUAGUGUUCCCUUAAUUUUCCGAGUGAGGAAAACUUCUCGGUUAGAGACUUGGAAAAUCCAAGUCACUGAGUGAGAUCGGCUAUAUGAAUCUUAGAACGCCAUUGUGUUCUGUCAUGUGUCAUGUCCUCCGUUAGAUCCAAGUACUCUAAGUCUUUUCUUAGGGUCUCUUCCAAAGUUUUCCUAGGUCUUCCUCUACCCCUUCGGCCCUGAACCUCUGUCUUACUUGGAUAAUUUUUUUGAAAAUUUCUGUUGUGAUAUUUUUGUAGUCUGUUGUUUAAUGAAAUCUGCAUAGUUUGUCCAGUUGGGUUUUGUGUACAGACAAACUGAUGAAUGCUCAAAACUAUAGGUUAAAUCUUAGAAGAACAACUUGAAACGGGUUAACAAACUCAUGUAAAAAGUUUGCCUAUAGGAAAUCCCGAAGACUCACAAGUUUUUCCGCGUGCUUGACUCUAGUUCAUAUAAGUUUCUCCUCGAUAGUUAAUGAUUGUCAUUUGUAUGAUAUUUUCCUCACUUUUCAUAGGUGAAAGUGGAAGAUGCAUCUCUUCUUGCAUUAGAACACGAAGGUCGUCGAGCAUUGUUAGCAGAACCUAAAGUCGACAUGUUACGAUAGAUGGUCUCUUGCGUUUUGGUGAGAGGAAUGCAGGAAUAUGCUUGAACAUUGAAGAUUUCUUGUAGAUAUGGCUUUGGGCUCACCUGCUUUCCUCUUGGUAUGUGAGAUGCAGUAUUUGGCAUUCUUAUAAGUUGAUCUAAUACGAUCGGGUGAUUUUGAGCUUACUCAGUCAAAUUUUUAUUACACAUUGCUUGCUUGUUCACGUAACUAAACAACCAUUGAUACAUUGAAGUGUUUGCUUGUAGUUCAUUAGGGAUCUCAAGAUCGAGCUGAGACAGGCAAUGGUGACCCAAAGUAUUUGUAUUCUCAAAUUGAAAUGAGACAACUUAGUCAAGACUGCAAAUGAGUUGAUGCUAUAACCUUGAAAACGAGGGUCAACCUUUACCUUAUUUGCUCGUUCUUAAACAAACCUGAAAUUGGUGCAUUACAUGAAUAAUGAUAUUUGAUCAAUUUUUUGCUAGGAACAACUUACAAGAGAACAAUAACUUGGACUCAUGUGUGUUAGAGGCAAGUGAAUUUUACAGGUUGUAAAUUGAAAAACUCAUCGAUUGGUCAUUCUGCGUUGAAUAAUGUAAGUGUUUGUUUCCUUGUUUAACAAUGCAUUGGCAGUUUAACUGUUGUUCCUCACAGUCGGCUUCCUCAAAACCUCAAUUGGGAGCUACUAUUCUAAGUAUCUCACUAAAUGAUAGAAAGGUAUGAAGUUGGGCUGAAAUUUGUUCUCUCAGUGAUACAUGUGAUGAUUUAGUAAUCUAGUUCUAAUUCUGUUAAUGCAUUAGCAAUUAGCUCAAACGAAUUGAUUUAUUUUCUUGCUUGUGUAAUCUAAUAGUCAGGAUAAUUGCAUAAUAUCAAUGCAUAUAGAUUCAGAGUGCUCAACAACCCAAGAUGUAGCCUCACGCACUCUGAAUUAGGUUUGUCUAUACUCCCAUCAUAUCAUUUUAACCAUUUAAUUGAUUACCUUAGACCUCUUGAGCAUAUAAGGAGGAUGCGAGAGACUAAAGCACAAUCUUGAAAUUUCACGGAUUACCAAGAUUUGGGCAUUGCCGCAUAUUUUUGUAGAUACUAAAGGCUUAGGCUUAGGCUUCCCAUUUUAUUGAUGCAUUGAGUGUUUCCUACAUAACUCCGCCUAUGUCUUACAUGGCCGGUCCCAAGCCCGGAUAAAGGAGGAGGGGGAGGGCGUCAGGUAGUCGACAGCCGGCACUCCAUGAUCACGUCGAAUCCUUAUGAAAAUGAAUCCAGAACAAAAUCGCGCUAAAGCUAGGGCGUCACCCGUAAGUGGCGCGCUGUGUGGCCCGAGCACAGUGAUAAGUGAGCAAGGGUCGCUGUAUCUCCAUCGGCACCCGGAUGCAGUGUUAAAUGAGCAAGGGGGCCAUAGAAACUUCUUUUCGAACGACUCCACUCAAAGUUGUUUGGGAGCAUAUGCUCCUAUCAACUUUACCCGGGACACACAAAAGAAGUACUUUGAUCCUAUUAGACGGGGGAGGGUGAAGAAGCUAGGACAGAAGGGUAGAGUUCAAGAGAGCAAAAUGCGUUUAGGAACGUGGAAUAUAGGAACCUUAACGGGAAAAUCUAUGGAAGUAGUGGAAGUUAUGGUGAGGAGAAGGAUAAAUAUUAUGUGCCUACAAGAAACUAAGUGGGUUGGUAGUAAGGCAAAGGAUCUAGAAAACUCAGGGUUUAAACUUUGGUAUUCGGGCACAAAUAGAACGAGAAACGGUGUUGGCAUCAUCGUGGACAAGACCUUGGUACAAGAUGUUGUAGAUGUCAAGAGGGUAGGAGAUAGAAUCAUGGCAAUCAAGAUUGUAAUAGGACAAGAACUUAUCAAUGUGAUUAGUGCGUACGCACCUCAAGUAGGGUUGGAUACGAGUUCGAAGGAGAAAUUUUGAUCAAGAUUGUAAUAGGACAAGAACUUAUCAAUGUGAUUAGUGCGUACGCACCUCAAGUAGGGUUGGAUACGAGUUCGAAGGAGAAAUUUUGGGAAGAUCUUGGAGACUUGGUGCAAGGAAUUGCUCAGACGGAGAAGUUAUUUAUAGGAGGAGAUUUAAAUGGACACGUGGGCAGGGAGACAGGCAACUAUGGAGGUUUUCAUGGUGGCCAUGGUUUUGGGGAGAGAAACGAGGAUGGGGAAGCUAUCUUGGAUUUUGCAAUGGCAUAUGAUCUCUUCUUAGCCAACACCUUCUUUAAGAAGAGAGAAGAACAUGUGAUCACCUACAAGAGUGGGUCGUCAAAAACACAAAUAGAUUUUCUUCUAAUGAGGAAAGGGGAUCGUAUAACUUGUAAGGAUUGCAAAGUUAUACCAGGAGAGAGCGUGGCUAAUCAACAUCGCUUGUUGGUGAUGGAUGUACAUAUCAAAAGAGUAAGACAAAAGAACAAGACUUGGAAGUGCCCAAGGACUAGAUGGUGGAAUCUAAAAGAAGAAAAACAAGCCAUUUUCAAAGAGAAGGUAAUCACCCAAUGUGUGUGGGAUAGAGAGGGGGAAGCUAGCCAAAUGUGGGAUUCCAUGGCUAGUUGUAUCCGAAAAGUAGCAAAAGAGGUAUUAGGAGAGUCCAAGGGCUUUGCCCCACACCAAAAGGAAUCUUGGUGGUGGAAUGAGGAGGUACAAACAAAGGUGAAGGCUAAGAAGGAAUGUUGUAAAGCCUUAUACAAGGAGAGGACCGAUGAAAAUGGUGAAAGGUAUAGAAAAGCGAAGCAAGAGGCGAAGAAAGCUGUCAGAGAAGCUAAGUUAGCGGCUUACGACGAUAUGUAUAAACGACUAGAUACCAAAGAAGGAGAGUUGGAUAUCUAUAAACUAGCUAGAGCAAGGGAAAAGAAGACAAGGGACCUAAACCAAGUGAGGUGCAUCAAGGAUGAGGAUGGAAAGGUUCUUGCUACAGAGAACGCGGUUAAAGACAGAUGGAGAGGUUAUUUUCAUAAUCUUUUCAAUGAAGGACAUGAAAUGAGUGCUUCUUUAGGGGAGUUGAGUAACUCAGAAGAGUGUAGAAACUACUCUUUUUAUCGUCGAAUCCGGAAGGAAGAAGUGGUUGUAGCUUUGAAGAAGAUGAAGCAUAAGAAAAGCAAUAGGCCCAGACGAUAUACCAAUCGAAGUGUGGAAAGUUUUGGGAGAGACAGGUAUAACAUGGCUCACUGACCUUUUCAAUAGGAUUUUGAAAACGAAGAAGAUGCCAAAUGAGUGGCGAACGAGCACUUUGGUGCCUAUCUACAAGAAUAAGGGCGACGUACAAAAUUGCAUGAACUAUAGGGGUAUUAAGCUAAUGAGUCAUACAAUGAAGCUCUGGGAGAGAGUCAUUGAGCAUAGAUUGAGGCAAGAGACACGGGUUUCGGACAACCAAUUCGGGUUCAUGCCAGGGCGCUCAACCAUGGAGGCAAUCUAUCUCUUACGAAGAUUGAUGGAAAGAUAUAGAGAUGGGAAAAAGGAUUUACACAUGGUCUUUAUAGAUUUGGAAAAAGCGUAUGAUAGGGUCCCAAGAGACAUUCUUUGGAGGAUUUUAGAGAAGAAAGGAGUACGAGUAGCAUAUAUCCAAGCUAUAAAGGAUAUGUAUGAAGGAGCAAAGACUGCCGUAAGAACUCAUGAAGGACAAACCGAAAGCUUUCCCAUAACUGUAGGAUUACAUCAAGGCUCAUCCUUAAGUCCUUACCUUUUUGCGUUGGUAAUGGAUGAGUUAACAGGACAUAUUCAAGAUGAUAUUCCUUGGUGUAUGCUUUUCGCAGACGAUAUAGUGUUGAUAGAUGAAACUCAGGAAGGGGUAAAUGCAAAGCUUAACCUUUGGAGAGAAGUGUUGGAAUCUAAAGGUCUUCGCCUAAGCCGAUCAAAGACAGAAUAUAUGGAGUGCAAGUUCAGUGCAAAUGGAGGCCAAAACGAGUUAGGGGUGAGGAUCGGAGAUCAAGAAAUACCAAAGAGCGACCGUUUUCGUUACCUAGGAUCUAUCUUGCAAAAGAACGGAGAAUUAGAUGGAGAUCUCAACCAUAGAAUACAAGCUGGAUGGAUGAAGUGGAAGAGUGCAUCCGGCGUGUUGUGUGACCGCCGUAUGCCACUGAAGCUCAAGGGAAAAUUUUAUAGGACGGCAAUAAGGCCGGCGAUGCUGUAUGGCACAGAAUGUUGGGCGGUGAAACAUCAACACGUACACAAAAUGGGUGUAGCGGAGAUGAGGAUGCUUCGUUGGAUGUGUGGGCACACGAGAAAGGAUAAGAUUAGGAAUGAGGAUAUCCGGGGUAAAGUAGGAGUAGCCGAAAUUGAAGGAAAGAUGAGAGAAAAUCGGUUACGGUGGUUUGGACAUGUGCAAAGAAGGCCUACUGACGCUCCGAUUAGAAGAUGCGACUAUGGGACAGAGGUUCAGGGCCGAAGGGGUAGAGGAAGACCUAGGAAAACUUUGGAAGAGACUCUAAGAAAAGACUUAGAGUACUUGGAUCUAACGAAGGACAUGACACAGGAUCGAGCACAAUGGCGUUCUAAGAUUCAUAUAGCCGAUCCCACUCAGUGACUUGGAUUUUCCAAGUCUCCAACCGAGAAGUUUUCCUCACUCGGGAAAUUAAGGGAACACUACCCCAACCUACAUGCUCCACUCAGAAAGCUUCAACAUACAAGCUUCAACAAAAGAAAAUUCAAAGAACUUAGCGAAGAAGGCUUUGGUGUAUUUAACACAAUACGUUGAAAUGAAGGAAAGCUUAUUUAUUGAUAUCCCCGAUAAGCUACAAAUAUGUACAUAUACAUGAGUCAAAAUAAACACACAAGAGGGAGCCUUCACAAAGGUUGCUUAGGAGAAGUCUCAGCAGUCGGUAGAGCCCCAGAAAGAGAAGGCACCGGAGGGGGAUCAUUUGGAGCCUCAGUACUGGACAGAACCCUAGAAGGAGGAGGCAUCAGAGGUUGAUCAUUUGGAGCUUCAUUACGCGGUACAGCCCCAGAAGACGAAGGCAAUAAAUGCCUUUGGAACAAACCCACAAAUCUCUGAUGAUCAAGUAAAACCUGACCAUCAGUUUCCUUCAUCUGGUCAAGCUUCCUCUUCAUGUUUGUAGCAUAGUCAUGUGCGAGCCGGUGCAACUGUUUAUUCUCAUGCUUGAGCCCUCUAAUCUCCUGUUUGAGACUCAUCACUUCAGCCGCCAAUGAUUCAACUUGGCGGGUUCGAGCAAAUAGGCGUUGGGCCAUAUUAGACACAGAACCUGCACACUGAACACUGAGAGCCAGCGAAUCCUUAACAGCUAACUCAUCAGACCGUUUGGAAAGUAGUCUGUUAUCUUUGGGAGUGAGAAGGUUCCUGGCCACCACCGCAGCGGUCAUAUCAUUCUUCAUCACGGAAUCCCCAACGGUAAGAGGACCAGUAGGGGAGACGAAGGAUGGGCGCCAUAUGUUGUCUGGAGAAGGCGGGGCUGCCUCUUCAACAAGGUUCAAGUCAAAACGACGGUCGGAGGGGCCAGACAUUUUCAAAGGUGUUGAAGAGAGAAGAGGUCGGACAAAUCAAGAUCUUAGAAGUGCAAGAAUGAAGCUUCUACUGGUGGAGAUUCAAGUGUGCUUUGGAACUUAAUGCCAGCCCCUAUAAAAAUCUGCACUCGACGGAGCUUCAGAAAUCGAAGAGGCGCCUGCUCAGAAAUCGAAGAGGCGUUUGCUUUCUCAAAAGCUGGGCUGCUUAGAGAUCACGAGGGUUGAUCUCAGAAAUCGAAGAGGCGUUUGCUUUCUCAAAAGUUGGGCUGCUCAAAGACCACGAAGGCCGAUCUCAGAAAUCGAAGAGGCGCUCGCUUUCUCAAAAGCUGGGCUCCCAGAGACCACGAGGGCCGAUCUCAGAAAUCGAAGAGGCACCUACUUUUCCAGCCUUGUCAGCACCUGUCACACACGCACACUCAGCUUUGCGGAAAUUAUGGGCAUUCUGUCAAAGACUUCUGGGGAAGUAGAAAACACAUGAAUCUUACUGUUCAAUCACCCACUUCCCACACGCAACAAUAGCUCAUGGGUACCACAGAUAACUUUGCCAAAGUUCUCUGCCAAAGUUGAGCACGUGAAGCUUGCAGCUCCCACUACAUCGCUCUGACCAAGAAGGGUAAAAGAAUAGCAAAGAAACAGCACUAACAAAGUUUAGACCCAUAAAUUUUGAAGGUCUAGCUACCAUAUUAUUACCCACAAGGGUAAAGGAACAGUACCACUGCUGGAUAAUUGGAAAGUCCCUGUGUGUCAACCUCUGUGCUUCGUGGCAAGGUAGACUAGCAAACAUGCCCAACCUUUACUCACAUUCGAGAAAACACUCCCAAUAAGAUUGCUUGCUCCAAAAUCGAAGAGGCACCGUCCUCCGAAUCUCGAGAGCCAGACUCCCAACAUGACUACUUUCUUAAAAAUCGAAGAGAGGGUAAAGGAACAGUACCAUUGCUGGAUAAUUGGAAAGUCCCUGUGUGUCAACCUCUGUGCUUCGUGGCAAGGUAGACUAGCAAACAUGCCCAACCUUUACUCACAUUCGAGAAAACACUCCCAACAAGAUUGCUUGCUCCAAAAUCGAAGAGGCACCGCCCUCCGAAUCUCGAGAGCCAGACUCCCAACAUGAUUACUUUCUCAAAAAUCGAAGAGACACUGCUCCCCGAAUCUCGAGAGCCAGACCCCCAGCAUGAUUGCUUUCUCAAAAAUCGAUGAGGCAUCGUUCUCCGAAUCAAUCGAAGAGGCGCUCGCUUUCUCAAAAGCUGGGCUGCUCAGAGACCACGAGGGCCGAUCUCAGAAAUCGAAGAGGCACCUACUUUUCUAGCCUUGUCAGCACCUGUCACACGCACACUCAGCUUUGCAGAAAUUAUGGGCAUUCUGUCGAAGACUUCUGGUGAAGUAGAAAGCACAUGAAUCUUACUGUUCAAUCACCCACUUCCCACACGCAACAAUAGCUCAUGGGUACCACAGAUAACUUUGCCAAAGUUCUCUGCCAAAGUUGAGCACGUGAAGCUUGCAGCUCCCACUACAUCGCUCUGACCAAGAAAGGUAAAAGAAUAGCAAAGAAACAGCACUAACAAAGUUUAGACACAUAAAUUUUGAAGGUCUAGCUACCAUAUUAUUACCCACAAGGGUAAAGGAACAGUACCACUGCUGGAUAAUUGGAAAGUCCCUGUGUGUCAACCUCUGUGCUUCGUGGCAAGGUAGACUAGCAAACAUGCCCAACCUUUACUCACAUUCGAGAAAACACUCCCAACAAGAUUGCUUGCUCCAAAAUCGAAGAGGCACCGUCCUCCGAAUCUCGAGAGCCAGACUCCCAACAUGACUACUUUCUCAAAAUCGAAGAGAGGGUAAAGGAACAGUACCAUUGCUGGAUAAUUGGAAAGUCCCUGUGUGUCAACCUUUGUGCUUCGUGGCAAGGUAGACUAGCAAACAUGCCCAACCUUUACUCACAUUCGAGACAACACUCCCAACAAGAUUGCUUGCUCCAAAAUCGAAGAGGCACCGCCCUCCGAAUCUCGAGAGCCAGACUCCCAACAUGAUUACUUCCUCAAAAAUCGAAGAGACACUGCUCUCCGAAUCUCGAGAGUCAGACCCCCAGCAUGAUUGCUUUCUCAAAAAUCGAAGAGGCAUCGUUCUCCGAAUCUCGAGAGCCAGAUACCACAGACCACUUUUUCAAAGUGCUCUGACAGAGUUAAAACAUGUGAAACUGGCAGCUCCCACUACCGUGCUAUGACCAAGCAGGGUAAAGGAAUAGCAUUACUACUUGUUGUUAGGGAGACUCCUAUAUAUGUCGACCUCCAUCCCCAACGGACAGGCAGACCUGCAAAAAUGCUCAACCCUUCAUCAUAUCUGAGAGGGCACUCCCAACGAAGCCUUUCGAAAUAUUCAGCUUUCUUUCCCCCCGAUAAUACCUCUGCAAACAAGCUAUACUAGAGCAAGAAUAUCUCAUAUCAUCAGGGUUAAAAGCAAGAGUAUCCCAUAUCAUGCUUUUUCCCUGUCUUUUUUCUUUUGGCCUUGUUUUUACCUGCAAGACAAGGAGAAAGAGAGCAAUCAGUCAGCACUUGGAAUCAAGCUUCCAGCCAGGAACUGACUGCCUGGAACCCCUUACCUGAUUACUUACCUGGCAUUGCUCUCGAGUACUCAUCUUCAACAUCUUAUGUUUCCAGGGAAGAUUCCGCAUCUGCUUGAGGAACAGAUAGGGCAAGUGCGAAGGAUACAAGGAAGCAUGUGGAGACAAGCGUAACAGCACACGUGCCGAUACAUCCAUUACUCUGUCAAAAGCAAAAGUAUCCCAUAUCAGCAGGGUGGAACGUACUCUAGAUUUGAUGGACUUGUUUUGACCCUCAAAUUCUUCAGUCGGCCUUAUACUCUGGAGGAAACCAGAAAACCCUCCAGCUCAGUUCAAGAAUAAGCCUGUGGAAAGUUACUUCUUCAAAAGCAAAAGUAUCUCAUAUCAUCUCUUCUCAUUUUUCUUCUCUUUAUCCUUCAUGCUGCUGCAAGAUGGGGAGAAGGUGAACAAUCAGUCGGAGCUCUGAUUGCUUACCUUGUCUGUCACCUCUUUCAGCAGACCCCCUAGCUCGGCGACUUGGGGGACUCCUACUACAUGGUUUGUAUCGCGCUUGACCAAGCCUGAAACUACAAGUAAGCUUCAAGUGAAAUUGAUACAUUACCUUGUGCAUCUCCACCAGUUAAAGAUACCACCCCUGGAUGGAGGAAGAGUACUUCCAGAGAAGAUGCCACAUCUACCUAUGAGACAGAUAAGGCAAGUCAAGACGACACCACACUCCGAUACUUAGAAGUUUCGUGAUUACGAGAUCAUUCUCCCACAAUAUUUCCUAAUGUCAUUUGUACUAAAUCAUUCACUUGUACUCACUAAAGGAGAGCUUGAACCUAUGUACUUGUGUAAACCCUUCACAAUUAAUGAGAACUCUUCUAUUCCGUGGACGUAGCCAAUCUGGGUGAACCACGUACAUCUUGUGUUUGCUUUCCUAUCUCUAUCCAUUUAUAUACUUAUCCACACUAAUGACCGGAGCAAUCUAGCGAAGAUCACAAAAAGCGACCGUUUUCGCUACCUAGGAUCUAUCUUGCAAGAGAACGGAGAAUUAGAUGGAGAUCUCAACCAUAGAAUACGAGCUGGAUGGAAAGAGUGCAUCCGGCGUGUUGUGUGACCGUCGUAGGCCACUGAAGCUCAAGGGAAAAUUUUAUAGGACGGCAAUAAGGCCAGCGAUGUUGUAUGGCACAGAAUGUUGGGUGGUGAAGCAUCAACACGUACACAAAAUGGGUGUAGCGGAGAUGAGGAUGCUUCGUGGGAUGUGUGGGCACACGAGAAAGGAUAAGAUUGGGAAUGAGGAUAUCCGAGGUAAAGUAGGAGUAGCCGAAAUUGUAGGAAAGAUGAGAGAAAAUCGGCUCUGGUGAUUUGGACAUGUGCAAAGAAGGCCGACUGACGCUCCGGUUCGAAGAUGUGACUACGGGACAGAGGUUCAGGGCCGAAGGGGUAGAGGAAGACCUAGGAAAACUUUGGAAGUGACUCUAAGAAAAGACUUAGAGUACUUGGAUCUAACGGAGGACAUGACACAAAACCGAGCGCAAUGGCGUUCUAGGAUUCAUAUAGCCGACCCCACUUAGUGGGAAAAGGCUUUGUUGUUGUUGUUGUUGUUGUUGUUGUUGUUGUUGUUGUUGUUGUUGUAUUGAGUGUUUCCUACAUACAUUCUCCAUUUAUAUAUUCAUAACAAAGAAGAACAUCAUAAAUAGUUGGUUAAUUAUUUUGUUAUUAAGUUUUGUAUUUUUUGACAUUUGAACGAGGUUAGAAAUGUAUGCAUUUUUUAUUAAGUUCCGUCACCAAAACUCAGGGCCUUCGUUUCCCAGUGGCAUUUUUUAUCAUGUGGUACUUUCAUGCAUUUUGUUUAUCCUCAUAAAAUAAUACAUUGUCUCCAUGAAAACUAAUUUAUCAAUUGUGUCAAUAAAUUAGAGGCAAUACAACCCACUAUGAUGCAGUGGUGAAUUCAGCAACAUCUGGAGUACUUGCAGCCAGAUUGAAAUCAGAUCGGUGCGAAACGAUGCCUUGGAAAGACAGUGAAGGUAGAGCUGAAUGGAACGAGGGUCCCUGUAAAGUUAUUUCUUGAUUAUGUUGACCCUACUUACAAUAUGAUCAAUUAUUAUCACAAUAUGUUUGUUGAUUAAGAUCAAGAUGCUUAACUAUUAUUAUUAUUGUUCUUUUAUUUUCUUCAAACAAUAUGUUGUCUAAAUUGUAAAUUCAAUGGAUUCAUAACUUUUUUUUCAUCAGCAAUGUCCAAUUUUGUUGUUUCUUCUUUUCCUUUAUUUUAAACUCAAUCAUUCAAUUUCAAAUGAAGCAACCAUAUUUUACUUUUGUAUAAUAAAGGCAUGAGGUUUACAUAGAAGGAAUGUUGAGAAUCGAACCACUUAAGCUACAAGUCAAUUUAUGUGAGCAAAUUAUGAUUAACGAUAACACGGAGUGUGAUUAACAAUGAUGGUAGAACACUAUGUAAUCAAUAUAAAAAUAUUUAUGAAACCGAACCAAAAUAAUCCAUACUAUUUAUGGAAGAGAGCAAAACAAACAUUAUUUAUUGAACUACAACAAAAUAACGCACACUAUUUCUGAAGUGAACCACUAUUUCUUGAACUACAAACAAAAUAACCCACACUAUUUCUGAAGUGAACCACUAUUUUUUGAACUACAACAAAAUAACCCACAGGUUGUAAACAGUGGGUAUGUUUGCCCACAUGUAUACAGUAAAGAUUCAUAUGCUAAAUAGUGAAGUUUUUGUAAGUUUUCAAG
This 11524-nucleotide long non-coding RNA is filed under the name Malus domestica (apple). RNAcentral describes it as "long non-coding RNA (MDOM_LNC009130)". Lineage: Eukaryota; Viridiplantae; Streptophyta; Magnoliopsida; Rosales; Rosaceae. The record is from RNAcentral.